Molecule: long non-coding RNA, 215 nt
Filed under: Mytilus galloprovincialis (Mediterranean mussel)
Lineage: Eukaryota; Metazoa; Mollusca; Bivalvia; Mytilida; Mytilidae
Source: RNAcentral
UAUACUUUAUCAAAUUAUGUUCAACUUAAAAGAUGAUCACACUUUCAAAUGGAUGGAUUAUAUUAAAUCGAUCCUAGACAAUGCCGGACUAAGCUAUGUUUGGACUCAGCAAUCACCAUUAGAUAUAAAUCAACUAAAAAUCGUACUGACAGAAAAACUAAAAGAUUCAUUCAUUCAACAAUGGCAUAGUCAAAUUGACAACUCAUCCAGAGGAG